UCGGGCGGGAAGCGAGAGGGGGGAAAAAAAAGGCUUAGGGCGCGAGCCUGUUGGUUCCUGUUCUCAGUCGCGCGGCCCGGGGACCGCUGUUGCGCGAGAGGAAGGCGGGACGCCCAGGCUGGGAAGAAAAGGUCCUAAUACCUCUUGUCACCUGUAAACAGUUAUCUUCAUCAGUAGCAGCACCAGCAACUCCUACUAUAGAUGCAUAAAGAAACUCUAAAAGGAUUAAAAGAAAUUAAUAAAAGGAAUUACCAGUUGGAGUGGUGAUAAGAACUAGGGUGAGUGUGACACUUUUCACUGUCUAUUUUAGAUAUUAUUUGAUUCCUGAGCCGUGUGGAUAUAUGGCCACUUAAAAAUGAAAUAAAGUAUCAAAUAUAAAAAAAUAAAUGAAAGAGGUACCUGGGUGGCUCAGUUGAUUGGGUGUCUGCCUUCUACUCAGGUUAUGAUCUCAAGGUUCUGGGAUUGAGCCCCUAGUUGGGCUCCCUGCUCAGUGGGGGUUUGCCUUCUGCCCCUCCUCCCUGCUUGUGUUCUCUCACUCUCUCAAACAAGUAAAUAAAAUCUUUAAAAAAAUAAAUGAUGAAGAUAAUGAUCAUAUUUAAUCUAAGAAAUUCUGUUUGUUGGUACAACAAAGAAAUGAAAGUUAUUUUGAACUUGUAUGUUGAGGAAUUGUACUUAGAGGAAUUGGUGUCUUUGGUAUAGCUGUUAAGUGCAGUAAUAAUGCAGAAGGCCAUGGUGGCAGUGGACUUGUAUGUAGAGGAAUCGUACUUAGAGGACUUGUAUAUAGAGGAAUUGUACUUAGAGGAAUUAAUGUCUUUGGUAUAGCUGUCAAGUGCAGUAAUAACGCAGAAGGUCACGGUGGUGGUGGUGGAGGCCACAGCAGACAGAUCAGAUGUAGAUUUGCCUCCUUGGGCCCUUUUCAUUUGGGAAGUUUUUCUCUAUCAGGCAGUUUGGGUCAAAGUUGCUUUUGUUCUUUGUUUUAGACUACAAGGCGCAGUGCACAUCAAAUGAUUUUAUCAAAGCUUCUGUUUUGAUGCAAAAUGUUUCAGUUUUCUCCUCUUGGUCUAUGUUGGAUCAACGAAAUAUUUCUUAAUAAUUUCAAGGCAAAUUGGUUCCAGAGAACUAAUGAGUUACUUGCCCACAGCUCACUUAUUCACCAAAAUAAUUAAAUUUGUUAACAAAUAUAUGGAAUUGCAAAUAUUGAAUGGUCUCACUGCUUUGGCCUGGUUCAGUCAUCUUCCUUGUCAAUAUUAACCAUCGUUUCUAUGUGGUUGUAAGUCACUGUCUUUUAAAUUAAUUUGUGAAUGGAAUUGAUAAUUUGCUUACUUAAAAAAUCCCAGCUUCCUCAUUCUAUAUAAAAAAAGACAUCAUUAAUGGAAAGUACUAUUAUUCAUCAUGAACUGUACCAAGAUAAUUUAUAUAAAUUCAACUAAUAUCUUCUAAAUCACAGUGAAAGAUUUAAUUUAAAAAUCGAAGCUAUAAUGCAGAUUCAAUAAUAAUUGUGAAAGUUCUUUGUGAAGUGCAUCAUACAAAUGAAUGGUAUUGUUAUUUUUUUGGCAUGCAUUGUGAUAUAAAAAAUAUUUUAAAAAGGUAGAAAAUGACAUAGAAGAUGAAUGGGCAAUUCAGGUUGGGGAAGAUUGAUGAAAGUAGUUCUAAUAAACAUAAUCAGCUUUCAGCUAGGUAGAAAGGCCCCACAAAUAUUCAGGUUAUUAACUGAUAGUCACCAACCACUUGAUAAUCAUGCUUCUAAUGAGAGUGAGCACUAAUGGCUCAAGGAACUGUGAGUCAAAUUAUGAAGUUUUAUUAAAAUGUUUUCCCCAUUUGUCUUCAAUUAUUUAGAUCCAAUCUAAUUUUUCUUCAAAAUUAAAGUCUGGGGCUCAAGCUAAUUUUUGUGACUGAAUAUUUAAAAAUAGAUGUCCUCUCUACCCAUAAGUAACAUCACAGAGAAAAAGUACAGUGCGUUUCCACAGCACUCUUGUUGAAACACAACCAUUUCUUUCCCCCCAACUUAUUAAAAUAAUGUGCAAUGGAACAAGCAUAACCAAAGCUUUGUCCCUGAACACCAAAAUUUAGAGAGGCUCCAAAUGACUCACCUGCUACUACUCUAAUUACUUCUUAGUAGCUGUAGCUACUUUUCACUUUUGCCCUAACCCUUUGGCUGUUGAACACAGAUAAAGCCAAGAACCAAGGUCAGAGUCUAAGCGAGUGAGGCAUUCAGGGUCCAGAGAAACAACACAUAUUCAACAUUUUGGAUAAUUGUUACAGAACUGUCUCUCAGCCUGGAAUCUCAGGGGCUAUUCAAGAAAUAACCCCUUCCUGGGAUCUGGGCAUCGAGGAUUCAUUUUAUUUUGAUGUGCAGCCCCUGGAUAUCAUUCAACAUUGUUCAGGAGCCUGGUAUGGCUACUUGUAAAAGGAUUUGUGGUGAAUGGCUUGCUAUCUUUCCUGGUUGGAGUGCCCAACCACCAGCCAGUCUUCCUCACCUUCUCCUUCAUCUUCUACCAUUCCUUUUCUCUAUGCCUUUGAUCUUUUCCUCUCUGUCUUUAUUUUUCCAUACAAAAUUUACCUUUCCUUUAAAGCCUCAGUUGUAUAUCAUCUUACUCAUAGGAAAAAAAACCCCAUUCUGAUAUAACUGGUACUUAUGAAUUUAAUAACUUAUUAAUGGGAGUGCCCCAUGUUAAAGCAGUUAUGAGUAUGUCAGGUGGAGUGACUUUUUCCUCAAGGGUAGGUAUUUGGUUGGACGAAAUACAUCUUUAAAUUCCUAAAUGUCUAUGCUGCUACAGUAUGCAGUGAUUUCUCAAUUACCUGUGUAAGAGUAUUGACCUAAUGAAUAAUUUGAAAAUAUUUGGCAUUGGAAUGCAUGGUACAAUUUUUUUUUCUCCCAGUAGCUUAUUACUAAUUAUUUAGUAAUUAUUUAACCUAUUAUUACUAAUUUGGUUGAACUUGUAUUAAAAUAAAUACUUCUCUAGAGUACAUACCAAACUAGAAAUAGUUGGGACAUAGGCAGAAGCCAAAGGGAAAUGAAAAAUGUUCAGAAUCAGAAGACUCAACAUUCAAUUAUUUAAUAUACUUUGCUAUAUUUCAAAAAAGAUUUUGAGGGGGUAAUAGUAACUGUGCCUCAUACUGGAAGCAAUAUGCCUUUUGAGGCCCAAAUGCAAGAGCCAGCUCUUUGUCUAGUGUAGCAUUCUGUUGUCUGAUAAUAACAACAGUAAUCAUUCCAGAGUAGCCUACAGUGUCAAGUACUCUGCUGAAUACUUGAUAUGGUUUCUCUUAAUUAAUCUUCAGAUUAUUUGCUGCAUCAUUUUACAGAUGAGGCUCAGAGAAGUUAAUUAUCUUGCCCAAAGUCAUAUAGCUAGUACCAGGCAGAAGCAUCACUUGGAACCCAGAUUGUGUGGCUCUAACGUUAGUGUUCCUAACACCUUCACCCACUGUUUCUGUUGAUGAAUAUAGCUGUACAGCUAUGACUGCUUUUUGUUUGUUUUUUAUUUUUUAAAAUAUUUUAUUUAUUUGAGAGAGAGAGAAAGAGCAUGCAUGCAAGAGAGCACAAGUGGGGUGAGGAGCAGAGGAAGAAGCAGGCUUCCCUGCCAAGCAGGGAGCCCCAGGUGGGACUUGAUCCCAGGACUCCAGGAUCAUGACCUGAGCCAAAGGCAGAUGCUUAACCAACUGAGCCACCCAGGCACCCUGUGACUGCUUUAUAGAAAAAAACAAAAACCCAUAAAAACAACUGAGUAUUUUUAAAGUGGGUCUCAGAGCUUGAAGUACUGUCUACACUGAAUGUAAAGGCUUUGUUAACAACAAAUUAUCCUCUCUGAGAAAGGGAUUGUGUUCAUCUUACCAGGACAGUUCUGAGAAACAAGUGGAACCCCAAACCUUUAGAUUGCCCAGACUCACUAGUUCCAGACUAGUGUAAAGUCUUGAGAUCCUAUUAUAUCCACAUGGUCCUGGCUUGACCAAAGGACCUGGCUGUGGAACUCUUUGUCCAGAGUUACACCUUCCUGUUUGCCAUUACAUUUCUUGCCUUGUAUUAUCCCCUGCCAAAUUAUUUCCCUCAAAUAUAGGUCUUUAAUCAGCUAUGGGCUGUGCCCUAGCCUUAGGAUGGGAAGUACCACUUGUGGGUCUUAAAACUCACCCUCUUCCUAGGCUCAGCUGUCCUGAUGACAGAGGACAUUGUCAUUGUCCUCUGACUUCAAUGUCCUGGAUCUCCCUGCUACUCAUCCUCCCCAGUUACAGCUGCUGGGAACUCAAUGAUGAUUGAGCCCAUCUCUGGUCUUUGGCACAAUUUCAACCUAUGUGUACCCUCCCAGAAGAAGACUCCUUUGUGCCAGUUGUUUACCUACACCUCUCUUUCCUGUCCUGCUGCCUACCCUCCACCACUCUCCUGUAUCUUACUAUAGUCAGAAUCAAAGAUCAAUGAAUAUUAAAUUUCAGCUUUUAGCAGCUAGUAUCAAUACUUCCUAUAGUGGUGAGGUCCUUGGUAAUUACUCAAAACGGUUAGAUUCAAUUAUAUGCAGUUUUGUUUUUUAAUGGAGGAGGAAAAACAACAAACCCAGACCUAUAGUAACAUGAAUCUUCCUGAGCACGCACUCACCCGCCUUGUGGAAAUUACUUUGCAGAAACAAUGCACAGUAUCUAACUCAUGUCAGUGCAAAUCAUUACUUUGUCAAAAAGCAGGGACUUAUUGCUUGUGUUAUUUUAAAAUUGUUUUCAGCCUGAGAUUGGCAUACCUAAUUGCUUUUUAAAUACACUUGUUAAAGCAUCAAGGAUAUUGCUGAUGGUAUUUAAACGCCUUUGGGUGGGCUGCUGUCAUUAAGAAGCAAGGUUGGCAUUUUCUUCUCUAACCUCGAACUUGAUGGUUUUAAUAUCUAGGCUAUUAAAUUUACACCAUGAAGAACUCAGGCAGAUAAAUCUUUUACCAAAGCAAUUUAAGUAAACCAAACCAAACCAAACCAAACCAAACCAAACAAAACAAAAAAAAGGAAGGGGUAAAGCAUUUAACUUUCAGAUUACAUAUUCUCCAGGGAUUGUCCUCUAUUUUUGUGGCACUGCACAGACUCAUUUGAGCCCACAGAAGAUGCCACAUUGGAGCUUGACUUUUUGUGGAAUCAGCUUCUGAAUUCAACCUUGAAGUACAUGUUUUGGCUUCAAGUGUGGUGUUAAUGAAUUACUGAAGAAAUUUCAGUGGGAGGUAAAAAUCCUAAAUUCUCUUUCAUUAUUUUAUUUUAUGUUUUGGAGUUCAAAAGUUAGCUCUUUUGG
RNAcentral lists this long non-coding RNA (5247 nucleotides) under Canis lupus familiaris (dog). RNAcentral describes it as "lncRNA (ENSCAFG00805002249.1, ENSCAFG00845005548.1)". The record is from RNAcentral. Lineage: Eukaryota; Metazoa; Chordata; Mammalia; Carnivora; Canidae.